GUUAAAACCAAUUCCAAAUUGCCUAGAAGAAACUAAAAAUUUGAUCUCAUUUGAAAGAACAAAACCAAAAGAAUAUGAAAGUUCUAGAAUAAUUGACUUCAGUUAGGGAGCACCAAAAGAGACUGAUAAACAAAAGACAUUCACUCUCACAAAAAAACAAGAGCUUACAGUGUCAGCAACAUAUGAACAAUUUUAUAAGAUGCCAAGUAGUUUAAAGAACCAUCAGAGCUAAUAAUAGAAUUUUGCUUAAUA
This 252-nucleotide unclassified non-coding RNA is filed under the name Hevea brasiliensis (rubber tree). Lineage: Eukaryota; Viridiplantae; Streptophyta; Magnoliopsida; Malpighiales; Euphorbiaceae. The record is from RNAcentral.